This 472-nucleotide ribosomal RNA is filed under the name uncultured organism. RNAcentral's name for it is "partial 16S ribosomal RNA". It matches the Rfam family "Bacterial small subunit ribosomal RNA", at positions 330 to 798 of the family's 1533-position model. The record is from RNAcentral.
CGUACACUCCUACGGGAGGCAGCAGUGAGGAAUAUUGGACAAUGGGUGGAAGCCUGAUCCAGCCAUCCCGCGUGCAGGAAGACGGCCCUAUGGGUUGUAAACUGCUUUUAUCUGGGGAUAAACCUACUUACGUGUAAGUAGCUGAAGGUACCAGAAGAAUAAGCACCGGCUAACUCCGUGCCAGCAGCCGCGGUAAUACGGAGGGUGCAAGCGUUAUCCGGAUUUAUUGGGUUUAAAGGGUCCGUAGGCGGACUGAUAAGUCAGUGGUGAAAUCCGACAGCUUAACUGUCGAACUGCCAUUGAUACUGUUAGUCUUGAGUAAGGUUGAAGUGGCUGGAAUAAGUAGUGUAGCGGUGAAAUGCAUAGAUAUUACUUAGAACACCAAUUGCGAAGGCAGGUCACUAAGUCUUAACUGACGCUGAUGGACGAAAGCGUGGGGAGCGAACAGGAUUAGAAACCCUUGUAGUCCCAU